UUGAUCUUGACAUGCCUACAGAAUAAAUAAAGCUGCAAGGGCGGACCGACCAGUUUAGUGCAAAGCUAAGCUCUACGUACCCUGGCUAUAAGUACCCCCAUGGUGCUUCAAGACAAGGCCCAUGCCUCUCAAACCUACAAAGUCAUCCCAUCUCUGGAGUGGAGCUCACUGACAUACUACUCACUCGUGCCAAGCUUGAGGCACAACAACUUCUUAGUAAAUCUUCUCGAUCGACAAGCAGCUUCAUAAGCUCUCCACAUCAAAGAUGAGGAUCAGCAAGAGCGCCCCCAACCUCCUGAAGAAGGCGGCGACGUCUGUCAAGAGCACGGCCGACGCUCUAAGAACAAAGCUCAUCUUCGUGGCCUCGCUGCGCCGAAGGUUGGCGAUGGUCUGUGCGAUGUCUCGCCAGAUCCGUGCACUCAUCACGUCAAAUGGCCGGGAGAAGCAGGCUAGGGUGGAUCACGGCAGCAAGGCUCUCAUGAUGCACAAGGCGAUGGCGACGAGCAAGGAGCCCGCUGGUGAUCAUGGUGGCAAGAUUCAUCUGGGUCUGUUUGAGGUGGCAAUGUUUGAGGAAGGUUAUCAUGGCUACCCUGACUCGCCCAACUCCCUCUUCGACGAUGACAGUUGUUACAACGAUGAGGAGGAUUUCCAAGAUGACGACCACGAUGAUCUUGAUGUUGAUGCUUUUGAUGAGACCUCUGUCAUUGAGAUCAUCAGGGGUGACCGGGAGGGUCAAGGUUUGGAGUUCAACAUGGAAGAUGAUAUUGAUGAGGCAUGUGAAAUGUUCAUUAGGAGAUGUCGCGGCCGGAUGAACCUUAGUUUCUAGUCUCGUUUUUAUACUUUACGUGAGUAGAGACUAGUACUACUACAUACUGACGAACUGAUGCGAGAUAAUAGAAGGUGGGCGAGAUAAUAAGAUGUAGCAGCCAGGGGUAGGACGUGAAUUUGUUUUGAUGAACGCAUAAUAAGAAUCACUUUAUGCAAUGCGGCAAAGUGUUCUACACAUUGCUUGAAACUGCACUGCGCAGUAAUUUUGCAAACAUAUAAAAGUAAAGUACAUGUAUGGUUCUUGAACUUGUCCCGGUGUCAUCGAGGUUACUGAACUUUCAAUAUACAUUUUUAUGUUCCAAAAUUUGACCUCAGGUGUCAUUCAGAUCACUAAAUCUUCAAAAUACGCUUUUAUAUUAUUGAACUUGUCGUUCUCAGGUUCCUAAACUCUUAAAAUACAGUUUCAAAUCCUCGAACUCAUCAUGAACAUUAUCACAAGUGGCCGCAACGAGCAUUGGCAAACACCGCAACAAGCCGCUUCUUCUGGCCGGAGACUUGUGCCUACGCUUAUUGGCGGUUUAUGACGUCGGGGGAUUCUAAUCCCAUAUUCAUUGCUGCCAGCUUGCCAUUCUGUUCCGCCUUCCUUAUCCUUCAUUCGUGAUCACGGGCACAAGGUGGUUGUGAAGGCGGCGAACAGGGGAAAGUAACGCCACCAGUAGCAUAUAUGUGAUAAUAAGUACGUGAUCUAAAAAUACGUCGGAGACUGUCUAACCUGGUUUCGGUCUUGGGAGCCGUUGGAUUCGAUUCCAACGGAAGGUGGUUCCCUGAAUUAGGGAAGUGGAUUACUGUUUCCUUAAUUACCAGCAUUUAUUCCAUCUCCACGAAGCGUCCAGAGUCCAGACCCCGCUCCUUUCCCCGCUUCGGGCCCCACCCGUCCUCUCUCCUUUUCAUUUCUCUCUCAUCUAUCUGUUUCUUCUGACCUCCCAUGGCGGCCGAUGCUCUCCCGAUCCCGAUCCCUCCAUCACCCAGCGCUCGAGCUUGGCAUUGGAGAGGUAAGAGACGGCCCUUCUUCAUCGCCGCUGCCAUGGAAAGGUCGGAUCUGAGGUGCUCUGCCAACGUUCCCCUCGCGGAUCCAUGAAAGACGAAUCGAGAUCCAAGCUCCACCACCGACGCCAUAAAGAAGGCGGCAACGGGAUCUCUGGUCCCCGCCACGGGCUUCCUCGACUACGGCGCAUGAUGUUUGGAUGAGUCCCCUUCCUCGGUUCCUCUUGUCCCCAUCUUCAUGCGAGAUCAGUGUUCUUGACGCCCGAGUCCAUGGCGGCUUCAAGUUCGUCACUGCCCCUGCUUCGUGCCAGCUGCUGCUGCGGAGUUCAAAUCAGGAUGCGCACGAGAUUGCGAGAUCCUCAAUCAUCCCCACCACAGCCGAUGAGAUACCGGCAAAAUCUGUGCAUGUAUAGCUUGAGAAAAAGCAUGAACGGAACAUUAGAUCUCAUAUGUAUAUUCUUUUGGUUGGUACGGGAUGUUUAUUUUUUAUUUUUCAUUUCAUUUUCUGAAAGUAAAGAUAGUUUCCCAACAUUUUAUUGAGUGAGAUACGGUUUUCAUUUUUUUUUCAUUUUCUGAAUGAUCCCACCAUUAAUCGAGUGAGAUAGCAAUUUGCCUUUUCUUUUUCUUCUGUUUUUUUGUUUUAUUUUCUGAAUGUAAAGAUUCUUUCCCCAACAUUUUGCUAAGUGAGAUAGCAAUUUUUAUUUUAGUUUGUAUUUUUGAAUCCAUUCUUGUAGAAAAUAAAAAGUUAAUAGAAAAGCGGACCAGAGACCAGCGGAUUUUGGGAGCGAGAGCCAGCGACAAGUGUGUCCAUGGAUCUCCAAACGAUCCUCUCCGUGCCAAGAGCACAAUAGCAAGCAAAGGCGAUUUCUCGGUGGAGGCUAGAACACAAGGGUUGAGAGUUGGGCCAGCCAACAAAAUGAAGAAGAUAUCAACUGUGUUACAUGAAAGCUACCCUUACUAGACCCCAUUUCGGGCAUGCAUAUAUUAGACGAGAAAAAAAACGUUCUGUACCUUUUCAUAGGUUACAAGCAUUUUUUUACGUGCACAUGCCUUUAGUUUAGAGCUUUAGAUACAGGUAUAUAAAUUUUUUGGGCAUGUUUCACCCUCUAUCUAUAUACAGAACUAUAGAUAUAGGAGUUGUUUGGUUGCCCACUAAUAAAAAAAAAACUGAUCACUGCUUGGUGGUUGUGAAACUUUAGGUGCGCCACACGGAACACAACAGUUUUUCACACAUUUUCUCACCCGGGUGUGAUGCCGAUCUUCUUCGACGCCAUAGCUUAGGCGCCACCCAACCUGCCGGUGUGGCAGGAUGAGGCCAGCAACCAAGCAAGAUCAUAUACAUAUUCGAUAUUCCUACCGUGCGCAGCAGCGUAUCUCUGAUAUUUCCCUGCUGGUAGUUUCCAUUUACUCGUCCAAUACUAUAAUGGAUGAUGCAUGCUAAUUAUCAUGUGCCUAAGCAUGCUCACAUCCCUCUCCAACAAUCGUCUUUUUUUUUUUGGCAAAGUUUACCUUGGUCCCAGUGCAUCUGGAACCCAUUCUUUUGAAAAGGUAUAUUCUUACCAAUUUCUGAAGAUAAAAAGCUAUUUUUCAAAAGUUACCAUUGAAUUUUUUGGCAACUUUUUUACAAACUUAGGAAAAAUAUUUUUUAAUGUUAAAAUUGGUUUUAGAAUUAUUUCAGAAAACAAUUUUUGUACUUCUCUACAAACGUUUUGUGUAAAAUAUUCAUGGUAAGAUAUGUUUUUUCUUAAUCCCUUCUAUAAGAUAUUUUCCAAAAAAUAUUUUUCGUUAUUUUUAUGCAAAAUUUUAUUUUCAAGAAUGAUCACAUAUUCCAGUGGAUAGUGGAGAUCUCUUGUAAUGAUUGAUGUCCACUUGACCAAUUCCCACCGUGUUGAUGAUGGAACAACUUCAUUAAACAUUGAAUUUAAAACUUUGACCAACCAAAACGGUGAGAGUUGCAGGUGUUAACAAAGAAUGGUCGCAUUAUGAGCACAUUCGUACACGCUCGGGGAGGUGGGAAGGAGUGAGAGACACGUAUUUAGAGGUGGUAAUAGAUUAUGGUUCUUGUACCUCCUUCAUAAUGCAAUUCAGUCCUAUCUAUUUUUAACUUAAAAUCAUAUGGUAUUUUAACCUGAUACUUAAAUUUACUAGGCUAAAUUGAAGGGCUCUUUACCACCCUGCACAUACCCCCACUCCCAUGAUGCUAGAUGCAGUACUAAGGAUUUUUGGUGAUCUUACCCUACUUUGAAGUGCAAUUGUAUUUUUACUCUCAUUUUUCUAACUUUGUGAUAUUACCCUCAACUAUUCACAGGUUCUUGUGAUUUUGCGCUUGGGCUUGCGUAUUUGCCCCUAUUUUAAUCGUUGACUAGGGGCAAGAUCGUAUUGACUUAUGAAUAGGCGAGGCAAAAUCACAAAGUUAAAAAAAUAAGAGUAAAAUCACAAUUAUAUUACACAACAGGAGCAAGAAUACAAAUGCCCCAAGUACUAAUGAUCAAUCAACUAGACGCUGGCCCUCGACAUGGAUGUUUUCUUGCUCCGUCCCUGUACUCGCAGCAGUGCAAAAAGCAACUACUACAAAUAUCUUCUGACUUCUCCGUGGCCAUGAAACUCAUGCUAAUUCUACCUCAUAUAUUUUAGGCCCCUAGCUGCCUUUUUCUUUUCGGCUAAUAAUGGAGUUCUCCACAUCAGAGAGAUCAUAUUUUUUCGUAUUACUCGCUGGGCCAUGAUUGAUCAGGAACAACUAUUUUUAAAAGCCACAUGCCCACACCGUGUUGUGGUCAGUUCAGUUGCCACAGCUCGCGCACGGGGGGCACGUGCUGUUCUGGACAGCUCCCACCCCACAGCAGGGCAAAUGCAUGGGCACGAAGCAACAGGUGUGACCGGCCAAUGCCAUGGAAAAACAAAAAAGACGAAAUCACGCGAUCGUCUUUUCAUGUGUUGACGAGCUGCAAAGAAGCGAAAUCAGUAGGAAAAUCACGGCACCGCAAAGUGUAAAAAGCAUCAGAAAGCUGAGGGCACUGCGAGCCAAGCAAGAUCACGAUUGGGCACCGUACCCUGAGUCCCAUUGGGCCGGGCAUGAGCAUGACAAUUGGCCACGAGAAGAGAUGGUGGAACAGCCACCAUCGGCGACGAAGAUGAUGGGAUCCGGAGGAGCCAAUCUUCACCAUAGGACAGGUGUCGUUUCCUACCUAGUUGGGAUUCUUUUACCAUAUCGUUUUCUCCCACUUUGCUACGACCUUCCCUUGCCAUAACUUUUAGUAGUUUUGCUUUCACUCUCAACGUUCGGUUCUUAAUUGUGGUGCUUACUCCACAUGCUAAUUCUUUUUUCUUCAAUGUUUCUUUCGUGCUUUGAGGCACCAAAAGAUUUUCAUUUUUUUUCUAAAGCUUCCAAAAGCAUGAUCUUGACAUGAUCACAAAAAAAAAAGUUGCAAAACUUCUACAGGUCAGUGCAAAGGCUUGCCCCACCCUGGCUAUAAGUACCCCCACGGGGCUUCAAUACAAAGCCCAUGCCUCUAAAACUUACAAGCUAUCUCAUCUCAGGAAUUCACUGACAUACUACUCACUUGUGCCAAGCUUGAGGCACAACAACUCCUUAGUAAAUCUUCUUGACAAGCAGCCUCAUAAGCCCUCCACAUCAAAGAUGAGGAUCAGCAAGAGCGCCCCCAACCUCCUGAAGAAGGCGGCGACGUCCGUUAAGAGCAAGUCCGACGCUCUAAGAACAAAGCUCAUCUUCUUGGCAUCCCUGCGCCGAAGGUUGGCGAUGAUCAGUGCGAUGUCUCGCCAGAUACAUGGGCUCGCCAAGUUGAAGGGCCAGGAGAAGCAGGCUAGGGUGGAGCACGGCAGCAAGGCUCUCACGGUGCACAAGGCGAUGGCGACGAGCAAGGAGCCAGUUGGAGAUCAUGGUGGAAGGGAUGGUAAUGUUGGUAUGUUUGAGGUGGCAAUGUUUGAGGAAGGUUACCAUGGUUACCCUGACUGGACCAAUUCCCUUUUCGACGAUGACAAUUGUUACAAGGAUGAGGAGGACGGUCAUGACAACGAAAACGACAACGAGGAACUUGAUGUUCUUGGUGCGCUAGAUGAGCCCUCGGUCAUCGAGAUCAUCAGGAGCAACCGGGAGGCUCAAGGUCUCGAGUUCAACAUGGACGAUGAGAUUGAUGAAGCUUGUGAUAUGUUCAUUAGGAGAUGUCGCAGUCAGAUGAACCUUAGCCUUUUGUGAUCUUGCAUCUCUAGUUUACGUUAAUGGUGUAAGGGAUGAACUAUGAUGAGACUAGUACACUGACAACCUGAUGAGCGACAAUAGAGAAGUGGGCGUGGGAUACUUGAAUAUGGUAGAACCUAUGAGAGGGCGUUAACUUUUUUCGCUGAACACAUAAGACAUAAUAAUCACUCAUUUUGUUACAUGACAAAGCGUUGUGCA
RNAcentral lists this long non-coding RNA (6226 nucleotides) under Setaria italica (foxtail millet). RNAcentral's name for it is "long non-coding RNA (SITA_LNC001482)". The record is from RNAcentral. Lineage: Eukaryota; Viridiplantae; Streptophyta; Magnoliopsida; Poales; Poaceae.